CUCCUCCCUUUCAGCAUAUAUACUAAAACUACAAAGACAAGAGAAGAUUAGCAUGGCCCUGCACAAGGAUGACAUACAAAUUCAUGAAGUGUUUCAUAUUUAA
Molecule: small nuclear RNA, 103 nt
Organism: Arvicanthis niloticus (Nile rat)
Lineage: Eukaryota; Metazoa; Chordata; Mammalia; Rodentia; Muridae
Source: RefSeq, a predicted model, not a curated record